RNAcentral lists this ribosomal RNA (360 nucleotides) under uncultured eukaryote. RNAcentral's name for it is "SSU rRNA". It matches the Rfam family "Eukaryotic small subunit ribosomal RNA", at positions 567 to 972 of the family's 1831-position model. The record is from RNAcentral.
CCAGCAGCCGCGGUAAUUCCAGCUCCAAUAGCGUAUAUUAAAGUUGUUGCAGUUAAAACGCUCGUAGUCUGAGAUGGAGUGUGUGGUGGGGGGGGCUGUAAAGUAUUCUUCAUCGCACACUCGUUCUGACAGAUAUGUCGGGGUUACUUUGAGGAAAUUAGGGUGUUCAAGGCAGGCGUGUGCUUGGAUAUCGCAGCAUGGAAUAACGGAGUAGGAUUCGCUUCUUAUUUUGUUGGUUUGGGGGAGUGAGUAAUGAUUAAUAGGGGCAGUUGGGGGCAUUGGUAUUUGGUAGUCAGAGGUGAAAUUCUUGGAUUUACCAAAGACUAACUGGUGCGAAAGCGUUUGCCAAGGAUGUUUUCA